CACAGUUGUCCCUUUUACCAGGCCUGGCUUCCUUGCGACAGCACCUCAGCUGCUCCUGUAUAACAUCCUACUUGAGAGCAGGAGAUGCAGAAGCCCCCCAGACACACUCAGUGAGGCUCCUUAGUCUGGCUUACACUGCAUGCUAACAGUUUUGGAGGAAGGCAAGCCACAGAUAAUACAAGUGUGAGGAGGACAACCUGGCGAGUAACGUGGUGCCUAUACCAGCCCUUCUCCCCAGAGCACCAGCAAAGAUUUGGAUGCCAAGAGUCUUUCAUCACCACUUGCUUUUGACCUUUAUUAUGCAACCAACAUCACCUACUGAUGUGUGCACAUUACACAUUCUGCUUUCUACCACCCUCCUUUCCCUCCUUUCUUCUUCUUCUGCUGUUGUUUCUUCUUGGUGGCAGGGGCACCAGCAGGUUUUUGGUGCCUGGGAGGGAUGACAUUACUUGCAGCCGAUACAGCUGCAGCACUGCCGGGCCGAGGGGAGGUAGGUGGGCUGCUGGCAGUCCUACUGGCAUCCAGUUCAGAGGAACCAGCUGUGGUUGAACCCUGAGUUCCCUUGCCAACCUGGUCCUUCUUCUUGCCCUUCUUCCGUCCACGAUAGUACGAACGUUCUCGCAUUGGAAGCCACCGCUCAGGAUCAGGAGUUACCUUGGGGUCAUAGUUCUUGGGCAGCUUUCCUUUCUUCUUUUUCUUCUUCUUCUUCACCUCCCCUUGUCCUUGCUCUUUCUGUUGGUUGUCUCCAGUGAGUUUCCCAGCUUUCUUCCGAACGUAGGUUGCACCAUGGGAGUUCUCUAGCGCAUCAACAUCAACUUUCAGCGACAUGGUGUCCGAGGAAGGCAAAUGCUUGCUAAGAACUUUUGCUUUUUCAGGGUCCACAAGGGAGUAGGCAGAGAUGAGUUGUGCCAAAGUGUGCACAUCCUUUGGGUUUUGCUUCCAGAGCUCCUCCAAGUCGCUGAUUGCUUCUUUCUUCCUGCCAUGCUUUAAUUUGAAGUUGGCAGCUUCCCUUAUCAGUGACAAAUGGACAGGAGACUCUGGCUGAAAGGUAGAGGAGCUGUAAUUAGUUCUUUGCUUUCACAGCAUAUAGCCCA
RNAcentral lists this long non-coding RNA (1094 nucleotides) under Gallus gallus (chicken). Lineage: Eukaryota; Metazoa; Chordata; Aves; Galliformes; Phasianidae. The record is from RNAcentral.